Molecule: long non-coding RNA, 574 nt
Organism: Cajanus cajan (pigeon pea)
Lineage: Eukaryota; Viridiplantae; Streptophyta; Magnoliopsida; Fabales; Fabaceae
Source: RefSeq, a predicted model, not a curated record
UUAUGUUAGGGCUAGCACAUGCAAUUCUCUUUAUCCUGUAACUUAAUCGAUGAAAGGGGAAGGGAAAGAAAAUGAGUUGGCUGUUGGCGAUGGGGUAUGGUGGGAUUCAGUCGUCUAGGUUCAAAUGGUUAUUCGAUACGACAACUAAUAAGAUCCACACAACAACGAUGUGAAGGAGAAGAAGAGAAACGAAAAUCGGUGUGAAGGAGAAGAAGAGAAAUGAAAAUCAUCUCUGCCAACAGGAUACAGAGACGUUUGUAAUGAUAACUGAUUGAUCGAGGUAAAAGGAGAGAAACGGGGCAUCGUCACCGUUGGAAAUCGUUUCCGACAACGGCAUAUAGUGCGACACUCAUGGUGAUAAAUGACUAAGGGUAAUGUUUUGCAGAGUAGUUGGGGGAGCAGUUGUUGGAAUCCAAGAAAGAUAUGAUCAACAUGUGUUUUUUUUUUUGUUUAAUUUGUUUUUUUUUUAAUUUUUUAUGUAUUAUUUUUUUAUAUGUAUGAACUAGACUUUAUUGUUAUACUAAAUCAUAUGAUUUUGAUUUAUAUGAGAAGACAAAAUUUGGAGUUAACAACA